AUUGAACGCUGGCGGCAGGCCUAACACAUGCAAGUCGAGCGAGCGGCGGACGGGUGAGUAAUGUAUGGGGACUGCCCGAUAGAGGGGGAUAACUACUGGAAACGGUGGCUAAUACCGCAUACUAUCAGAUAGCCUAGGUCGGAUUAGCUAGUUGGCGGGGUAAAGGCCUACCAAGGCGACGAUCCGUAACUGGUCUGAGAGGAUGAUCAGCCACACUGGGACUGAGACACGGCCCAGACUCCUACGGAGGCAGCAGUGGGGAAUAUUGCACAAUGGGCGCAAGCCUGAUGCAGCCAUGCCGCGUGUAUGAAGAAGGCCCUAGGGUUGUAAAGUACUUUCAGUCGGGAGGCGUUACCGACAGAAGAAGCACCGGCUAACUCCGUGCCAGCAGCCGCGGUAAUUC
This 403-nucleotide ribosomal RNA is filed under the name uncultured bacterium. RNAcentral describes it as "partial 16S ribosomal RNA". It matches the Rfam family "Bacterial small subunit ribosomal RNA", at positions 30 to 526 of the family's 1533-position model. The record is from RNAcentral.